CCUACUUAGCGGUUAUUUACCAAAAGAUAACGAAACCUCUGUUUCCAGGACAAGAGAAGGCGUUGAAAUAAUAAAAUAAAAUAGAUUUGUACCAAGCAGUAAAUAUGUAUACAUGAGAGCAAGAUCUACACAGCCCUUCGUGAGAACAAGUAAAUAAUUUUGCAGUCAAACUGACCGUUUCAAGCAAAGGUCGCCUUGUCUGUGUCCGAACCAAACGGAUUGUGCCAUCUUACCCUAAAAUUUCGUGUUAAAUCUAACAGCAACAAGCCAAGCCAAGCCAAGCCAAUGUUCAACAGUAGUAAGGGGUUUAAAUAGGUGAGAAUCAACCAUUUAUAACUGGAGCAACGACUCUGUAAUCGACAGAGAUCUUAGUUGCCGUAGUCCCGCGAAGCGUGCUCGAAAAGGAAGAUUGUCCGUUAGUCAUUUUUUCAACCAUAAUAACGAAGAGGAAGGUACUUGCUUAAGAAGAACCCGUGUCGUUCCUUAAGAUCAAACAUGAAGGACCAAAUUACAGACACCCUGCACAUACUGCAGGCAAAGGAGAUAGCUAAGAAGGUGCCCGACAAUAUGAACACUAUUCGCCGAAUUAUCCAAUACUCAAAAGUCAGUAAAGACACUGGAAAUGAACUUCACUAUUACACAUCUAUUCCUCCUUACGUCUUCGCUGCCGUUUGUUGUGUGGUUGUGCUAUAUCUAAGUCUUCUCUUAAGUGGAGUUGUGGUUUGGUACGUCGUCAGUAAUAAUGAUGAUGAGCGCGUAAGAAAGACCGAGAAAGAGCACCUUUUGUCACCUUCUACUCAAAAAAACAAGAACAAUAAACUCAAAGAGGACCGAGCAAAAACGGAUGCUACAAGAAACGAGAUCAUCCAGGAAAUUCGCCAAAAACUCGAAUUAUAGGAAAACAAAACUGACGGGCACGGAAAGCAUCGACUCGUGAAAGAGAACAGCUUCGCGAGAACUAACCCUUCAGCUAACAGAAUCUUACGACGUCGACAAAUCGA
Varroa destructor (honeybee mite) is the source of this 1001-nucleotide long non-coding RNA. The record is from RefSeq and is a predicted model, not a curated record. Lineage: Eukaryota; Metazoa; Arthropoda; Arachnida; Mesostigmata; Varroidae.